UGCCUGCCCAGUGAUAAUUAUUAUAUUCAACGGCUGCGGUACUCUGACCGUGCAAAGGUAGCAUAAUCAUUAGCCUGUUAAUUCCAGGCUGGAAUCAAUGGCAAGACGAAGAAAAAGCUGUCUCUUCUUAUUUACUUAGAACUUUUUUCUUUGGUGAAGAAACCAAAAUACUUUAGUGGGACGAGAAGACCCUAUAGAGUUUUAGUGAUUUAAAAAAAGCCUUUUUUUUUAAAUCACUUUGGUUGGGGCAACUGUUUUUAUAAAUUAAACAUAAAUAAACAUUUUGUAGAAUUAAAUCUAAAGCUAAAAUCCAGAAUUUUAUUCUGAAGUUGAAAUAAAUUACCUUAGGGAUAACAGCGUUAUUCUUUUUGAGAGUACAUAUUGACAAAAGAGUUUGCGACCUCGAUGUUGGAUCAAGUUUUCCUGAAGGUGCAGUAGCUUUCAAAGGUUGGUUUGUUCAACCAUAAAAAUCUU
Molecule: ribosomal RNA, 474 nt
Filed under: Astroboa sp. FMNH:UF5053
Lineage: Eukaryota; Metazoa; Echinodermata; Ophiuroidea; Euryalida; Gorgonocephalidae
Description: partial 16S ribosomal RNA
Rfam family: Bacterial large subunit ribosomal RNA
Source: RNAcentral